RNAcentral lists this unclassified non-coding RNA (333 nucleotides) under soil metagenome. RNAcentral describes it as "partial contains 5.8S ribosomal RNA, internal transcribed spacer 2, and large subunit ribosomal RNA". The stretch from base 1 to 120 matches the Rfam family "5.8S ribosomal RNA", at positions 35 to 154 of the family's 154-position model. The record is from RNAcentral.
GAUGAAGAACGCAGCGAAAUGCGAUAAGUAGUGUGAAUUGCAGAAUUCAGUGAAUCAUCGAAUCUUUGAACGCACAUUGCGCCCCUCGGUAUUCCGUGGGGCAUGCCUGUUCGAGCGUCAUUUACCCCUCAAGCACUGCUUGGUGUUGGGCGUCUGUCCCGCUUCGCGCGCGGACUCGCCCCAAAGGUAUUGUCAGCGGUCGUGCCAGCUUCUCGCGCAGCACAUUGCGCUUCUCGAGGCGGUCGAUCGGCGUCCACGAAGCUCACCUCCACCGUUUGACCUCGGAUCAGGUAGGGAUACCCGCUGAACUUAAGCAUAUCAAUAAGCGGAGGA